UACGUAGGGUGCGAGCGUUGCCCGGAUUUAUUGGGCGUAAAGGGCGCGUAGGCGGCUCGGCACGUCCGUUGUGAAAUCGCUCGGCUCAACUGGGCGAGGUCAGCGGAUACGGUCGAGCUUGAGCCAGCUAGGGGGCAAUGGAAUUCCCGGUGUAGUGGUGGAAUGCGUAGAUAUCGGGAGGAACACCGGUGGCGAAGGCGGGUCUCUGGGCCGAUACUGACGCUGAGGAGCGAAAGCGUGGGGAGCAAACAGG
This 253-nucleotide ribosomal RNA is filed under the name uncultured bacterium. Its description in RNAcentral is "partial 16S ribosomal RNA". It matches the Rfam family "Bacterial small subunit ribosomal RNA", at positions 524 to 776 of the family's 1533-position model. The record is from RNAcentral.